GAUGAACGCUGGCGGCGUGCUUAAUACAUGCAAGUCGAGCGGAAAGACGAGGAGCUUGCUGCUCUGACGUUAGGGGCGGACGGGUGAGUAACACGAGGAUACCCUACCUAUAAGACUGGGAUAUCUACGGAACUCCGGAGAUAACACCGGAUAAUAUAUUGAACCGCAUGGUUCAAUAGACAAAGACGGUUUUGCUGGCACUAAUAGAUGGUUCCCAGCUGCAUUAGCUAGUUGGUAAGGUAACGGCUUACCAAGGCGACGAUGCGUAGCCGACCUGAGAGGAUGAUCGGCCACACUGGAACUGAGACACGGUCCAGACUCCUACGGGAGGCAGCAGUAGGGAAUCUUCCGCAAUGGGCGAAAGCUUGACGCAGCAACGCCGCGUGAGUGAUGAAGGUCUUCGGAUCGUAAAGCUCUGUUAUUAGGUAAGAACAGAUGUGUAAUUAAAUAUGCACGUCUUGACGGUACCUGAUCAAGAAGCCCCGGCUAACUACGUG
Molecule: ribosomal RNA, 497 nt
Filed under: uncultured bacterium
Lineage: Bacteria
Description: partial 16S ribosomal RNA
Rfam family: Bacterial small subunit ribosomal RNA
Source: RNAcentral